RNAcentral lists this non-coding RNA (71 nucleotides) under Pessonella sp. PRA-29. The record is from RNAcentral. Lineage: Eukaryota; Discosea; Flabellinia; Vannellidae.
AACAUGGUGCUAUUUGGGCUAAAAAAACUGGUUCAUUCCACAUCACUGCUUAAAUAAUAAAAAGCAAAUUG